GAUGAACGCUAGCGGCAGGCUUAACACAUGCAAGUCGAGGGGCAGCACGUCUUCGGAUGGUGACGACCGGCGCACGGGUGCGUAACGCGUAUAGAAUCUACCUUUUACAGGGGAAUAGCCCAGAGAAAUUUGGAUUAAUGCCCCAUAGUAUUAUAGAAUGGCAUCAUUUUAUAAUUAAACAUUUAUGGGUAAAAGAUGACUAUGCGUUCUAUUAGCUAGUAGGUAAGGUAACGGCUUACCUAGGCGACGAUAGAUAGGGGUCCUGAGAGGGGGAUCCCCCACACUGGUACUGAGACACGGCCCAGACUCCUACGGGAGGCAGCAGUGGGGAAUUUUCCGCAAUGGGCGAAAGCCUGACGGAGCAAUACCGCGUGAGGGAGGAAGGNUCUUGGGUUGUAAACCUCUUUUCUCAGGGAAGAAAAAAAUGACGGUA
Molecule: ribosomal RNA, 433 nt
Filed under: uncultured Flavobacteriaceae bacterium
Lineage: Bacteria; Pseudomonadati; Bacteroidota; Flavobacteriia; Flavobacteriales; Flavobacteriaceae
Description: bacterial SSU rRNA
Rfam family: Bacterial small subunit ribosomal RNA
Source: RNAcentral